RNAcentral lists this long non-coding RNA (851 nucleotides) under Gossypium barbadense (sea-island cotton). Its description in RNAcentral is "long non-coding RNA (GBAR_LNC018116)". The record is from RNAcentral. Lineage: Eukaryota; Viridiplantae; Streptophyta; Magnoliopsida; Malvales; Malvaceae.
AAAAACACAUUAAACAAGUCAUUCAUCAUGUAAUAGGCCAAUUUUAUCCGACCCAAUAGAAACAAAUACACCAAACAAUAAACAAAUAAAUAAAAAAACCAUAAAGCGCAAAUACACCAGCCCAAUAACCCAAAACUUAAACAAAAAAACCCUAAUUCCUCUAAGCCUCAAGCCCUCGCCGCUCCUCUGCCUCUCCAUGUCAGCAGGCGUGUCACUCGAGGCCUGCCAUCGUUUCACCGAAAUGGAAAAAGCGCAACUCCCCAUCGUCGUUGACCACCACCGCCACCUGUAAGAGGAAGAAAAUAGAAACAAAAGUAGAAAAGAAAAAAAUUUAAUAAAAUAUUGUAAUUGAUUUGGUUAUAAAAGCCAAAUACAAACAAUCUGGUUUUUUACAACAAAAACAAACAAGUUAAAAAAAGGUAGCGUAUCCCUUAUUUGUUUUAAAUUUUUUAAAAAAGAAAACAUAAAAAAGAGAAAGAAAAGAAAAUGUUUUUUUUUCCUAUUUUGUGGUCAUCGCCGUCGUGGUGGCCCUCACCAAUCUAAAAGGUCUUCGAAUCUAGUGGGAUUUGACAAGGGCCUCAUCGAAAAAAGUUAACAUCGAAGAGUUUCAUCGUCUUUUUUCUUUAAAUCGAAGGGUUUUAACGUUUUUUCUUUUUGAAAGCCGGCUUUUUUGGGGGGUUUUGACCUCAAGUUCAGGUUCUAUGCGUUGAGGGGUCAAAGGGGAAUUUUUUUGGGUACUCCAACCAGCAGAGGCGGCGGUCUCUGUCGCUAAUGAUCGGUUGGCAUGGCGGAGACCCACCGCCCCAUGGCCGGACCUAAGGAUGGCUUGAGAGAAAAAAGAAAGAAAGAAA